GUGAUGAGGGCAUCAGGGCUUGGGGCGGCUGUAACCAUCAGGAAACAAAUACCUUUUCCUUUCCCUUUCUGCCCACGCCUCUCCCCGCCCUGCUCCUGAAAGAAUCCCCAGUCAUUUGGAGGGAAUAGCCCCAGCAGGCUGUGGGGUACAUGCUCGUACAUCUUUGCAUCCUUUUAGGGGAGGACUGAGGCCCCUUCAAUCCAGAGUUCUCUGCUCAGUGCCCUUGCCCAUGGGGAUGUUGGUCUCCUGAUUGCUUUGGAGGGGGAUCCGUGGGGUCUGGCACAGACAGAUGCUGGGGUUCCCUCAUCACUUCCAUUUCUCAGGAAGGUGGGAUCAUGUUAUCUUUAACCCCCUUUCCGCUGCUCGUGGUCCUCUGGACAGCCCUUCUCCAGCGUCACAAACAUUUGCUCUUGUUAAGGAUUUUCAGCAAUCACUGCCAGAUGCAAUCAGACUCCUUGAAUAGGAGCAACUGAGGCUUGUUUGUGGCUCGGAUUCAUUAGAAUCAGGAGGCUGAAGAAAGGAAUAAAUUACUUAAUUGCACAAAAAAGUUGCAGCCAAAGUGAUGAUGAUCAAGUUGAAUAAAACCCUUGUUGUCCACCUCCUGAAUGCUCCUUCGCACGAGAUGCAGGAAACGGGAAGACCUCACCGGCCUGCCGCGCAGGGACGUGGGCCCCAGCCUGAACUGAGGAGGAGAGAGGGGUUGCUCAAAUGGGGCAAAGAAAGAAAGAAGUUGCUCUAUUUUCUAACCACUGGGAUUCCUUUCUUGCCUCAGACUAACUCUUAAUCUGUUAAAAAAAAUAAAAAUAAAAAGGCACACUGUUAACCAGGGCUGUUCACAUAGAACCAAGGGAGAAGAAACAAAACCGCUCAGAACACUCUCACGUGCUCCGCCCCCCCUUUCUCUGGCACUCCGCGCGUCUCUGGCCGGGGGGCCUCUGUCUCAGGCGUUGCACUCAGGUUUUUGGUCAUGUGCCCGACUUGUGGGUGGUCUUCAAGUCUUGAAGAAGGAACUUCAUUUUCUCUCUGAAGUCCUUGCAUGGCUAGUAGCUGUGUCUCUCUGUCUGUGUGUAUAUGUGUGUGUAUGUAGAGGGUGUGAGAGGAAGAGGUUGAUGCAAGAUGAGGCCCCAGCAGGGAAGAAAUGGGGAAAGAAAUAAUGAAGAUGGAUUUU
This 1168-nucleotide long non-coding RNA is filed under the name Equus asinus (donkey). RNAcentral describes it as "lncRNA (ENSEASG00005027132.1)". Lineage: Eukaryota; Metazoa; Chordata; Mammalia; Perissodactyla; Equidae. The record is from RNAcentral.